UACGAAGGGGGCUAGCGUUGCUCGGAAUGACUGGGCGUAAAGGGCGCGUAGGCGGAUGGCACAGUCAGAUGUGAAAUUCCCGGGCUUAACCUGGGGGCUGCAUUUGAUACGUGUUGUCUUGAGUUCGGAAGAGGGUCGUGGAAUUCCCAGUGUAGAGGUGAAAUUCGUAGAUAUUCGCAAGAACACCAGUGGCGAAGGCGGCUCACUGGCCCGGUACUGACGCUGAGGUGCGAAAGCGUGGGGAGCAAACAGG
This 253-nucleotide ribosomal RNA is filed under the name uncultured bacterium. Its description in RNAcentral is "partial 16S ribosomal RNA". It matches the Rfam family "Bacterial small subunit ribosomal RNA", at positions 524 to 776 of the family's 1533-position model. The record is from RNAcentral.